This 260-nucleotide long non-coding RNA is filed under the name Olea europaea (common olive). Its description in RNAcentral is "long non-coding RNA (OEUR_LNC002640)". The record is from RNAcentral. Lineage: Eukaryota; Viridiplantae; Streptophyta; Magnoliopsida; Lamiales; Oleaceae.
UUUGGCCCACCGUAUUAGAACAAAUAAUAUUAAUUUAAUUCUCUCCGGUGUUUAGUGUAGAUAGUGUUCUUAAUCUCAUAAAUCACAGUAAUCUGUCUAAUUGCACCAUUGUGCCAGCUGCAACCCUGUACGGUCUGUCUGUACUGUCUGUCUGGACCAACUUCUGGACCACUUAAAGUGGAUGCUCAACACGGUGAUUAGCCCUUUGUGGAUUAACAUCCGGGCCUACGGACAAAAAAUCUUGGCGUUCUUUCAAUUUU